Molecule: non-coding RNA, 23 nt
Filed under: Arabidopsis thaliana (thale cress)
Lineage: Eukaryota; Viridiplantae; Streptophyta; Magnoliopsida; Brassicales; Brassicaceae
Source: RNAcentral
GGUCAUACGUUAUAAUUUUGGUC